Molecule: ribosomal RNA, 273 nt
Filed under: uncultured prokaryote
Description: partial 16S ribosomal RNA
Rfam family: Bacterial small subunit ribosomal RNA
Source: RNAcentral
UACGUAGGGGCGAGCGUUAUCCGGAAUUAUUGGUCGUAAAGGGUUCGCAGGCGGCCUUGUAAGUCAGAUGUGAAAGACAGCGGCUUAACCGUUGUAAGCAUUUGAAACUGCAGGGCUUGAGUACAGGAGAGGAAAGCGGAAUUCCUAGUGUAGCGGUGAAAUGCGUAGAUAUUAGGAGGAACACCAGUGGCGAAGGCGGCUUUCUGGACUGAUACUGACGCUGAGGAACGAAAGCGUGGGGAGCAAACAGGAUUAGAUACCCUGGUAGUCCCU